RNAcentral lists this ribosomal RNA (194 nucleotides) under uncultured bacterium. Its description in RNAcentral is "partial 16S ribosomal RNA". It matches the Rfam family "Bacterial small subunit ribosomal RNA", at positions 338 to 524 of the family's 1533-position model. The record is from RNAcentral. RNAcentral also lists the same sequence under 1 other name.
CCUACGGGAGGCAGCAGUAGGGAAUCUUCCGCAAUGGACGCAAGUCUGACGGAGCGACGCCGCGUGAGCGAUGAAGGUCUUCGGAUCGUAAAGCUCUGUUGUUAGGGAAGAACAAGUAUCGGAGUAACUGCCGGUACCCUGACGGUACCUAACCAGAAAGCCCCGGCUAACUACGUGCCAGCAGCCGCGGUAAU